UUUGAUGAAGUUUCACAAUAUUUAUCCAGAAUAACUAUAGCCCCCCAGAAGUCACAAGCAGAGCAAGAGGAAAAUAGGUUUAGUUUUAGGCAUUCUGCAUCAGUUUCUAGCCUAGCUGAAAGAUUGGUUGUCUGGAUGGCUAAUGUCGG
Long non-coding RNA from Carlito syrichta (Philippine tarsier), 149 nucleotides. RefSeq lists it as uncharacterized. The record is from RefSeq and is a predicted model, not a curated record. The transcript has 3 exons. NCBI's taxonomy places the organism in Eukaryota, Metazoa, Chordata, Mammalia, Primates, Tarsiidae.